RNAcentral lists this ribosomal RNA (487 nucleotides) under uncultured bacterium. RNAcentral's name for it is "partial 16S ribosomal RNA". It matches the Rfam family "Bacterial small subunit ribosomal RNA", at positions 30 to 504 of the family's 1533-position model. The record is from RNAcentral.
AUUGAACGCUGGCGGCAGGCCUAACACAUGCAAGUCGAACGGUAACAGGAAGCAGCUUGCUGCUUUGCUGACGAGUGGCGGACGGGUGAGUAAUGUCUGGGAAACUGCCCGAUGGAGGGGGAUAACUACUGGAAACGGUAGCUAAUACCGCAUAACGUCGCAAGACCAAAGAGGGGGACCUUAGGGCCUCUUGCCAUCGGAUGUGCCCAGAUGGGAUUAGCUAGUAGGUGGGGUAACGGCUCACCUAGGCGACGAUCCCUAGCUGGUCUGAGAGGAUGACCAGCCACACUGGAACUGGGACACGGUCCAGACUCCUACGGGAGGCAGCAGUGGGGAAUAUUGCACAAUGGGCGCAAGCCUGAUGCAGCCAUGCCGCGUGUAUGAAGAAGGCCUUCGGGUUGUAAAGUACUUUCAGCGGGGAGGAAGGGAGUAAAGUUAAUACCUUUGCUCAUUGACGUUACCCGCAGAAGAAGCACCGGCUAACUCC